AUCGCUUCUCGGCCUUUUGGCUAAGAUCAAGUGUAGAAAAUAAGGCAACUUACAUGUGUAUUAGACUCUUUUAAAUUCAAAUUUGAAAGCCUACAAUCAAAAAGAGUUCAAAGAGUUCAUUUUAU
Molecule: small nuclear RNA, 125 nt
Filed under: Fukomys damarensis (Damara mole-rat)
Lineage: Eukaryota; Metazoa; Chordata; Mammalia; Rodentia; Bathyergidae
Description: U2 spliceosomal RNA
Rfam family: U2 spliceosomal RNA
About the family: U2 is a small nuclear RNA (snRNA) component of the spliceosome (involved in pre-mRNA splicing). Complementary binding between U2 snRNA (in an area lying towards the 5' end but 3' to hairpin I) and the branchpoint sequence (BPS) of the intron results the bulging out of an unpaired adenosine, on the BPS, which initiates a nucleophilic attack at the intronic 5' splice site, thus starting the first of two transesterification reactions that mediate splicing.
Source: Rfam by way of RNAcentral